Molecule: long non-coding RNA, 241 nt
Filed under: Homo sapiens (human)
Lineage: Eukaryota; Metazoa; Chordata; Mammalia; Primates; Hominidae
Description: HSALNT0381538
Source: RNAcentral
CACCUGUCUCGUCCCCAGUGGCUUUUCCAGAACUACUGCCUUCACCAUGAAGCUCCAUGAGCUUUCCCAAAUUUAUUGACCACUUCUUUCAAGUCAUUUGUCUGCACCUCUCGGAUCAUGAUUUCCAUCAUCUUCUUCCGGAUUUGGCGGACCUGUUGGUGCUGAGCACGGGUAAGAUCCAUGCCAUGGAAGUUAGUCAGGCAGUUUUUACCCUGAACAUCUUCAGUAAUCAGCUUGAAUU